Long non-coding RNA from Cottoperca gobio, 312 nucleotides. RefSeq lists it as uncharacterized. NCBI's taxonomy places the organism in Eukaryota, Metazoa, Chordata, Actinopteri, Perciformes, Bovichtidae. The record is from RefSeq and is a predicted model, not a curated record. The transcript has 4 exons.
AGACAAAGCCCAACGAGUCUUCUGAGUGUCUGCGGACUAAAAUAACCAACUGGGGGCCGAGUCGUCACCAGUUCAGCGUGGAGCAUAUUCUGCUGCAGAGCUCACACCUGGCAGGGAGUUUGGGUUUUGCUUAUGGGCACUUUGGAAGGCGAGCCAGAAGUGAGAUCUCAUUACUGGCUGGUCCCAAGUGCCAGUCCUGGCAGAGACUUCAUCAUUGCACUCAAUGGCUGCAAAGCGGCGUGGAAGUUCCCCUCAGCUGUCGAUGCGAUGAAGAUAUGGUUGAAGUUAUAUGAUAACGUUAAAGUUGGGUUU